This 388-nucleotide transfer-messenger RNA is filed under the name Metamycoplasma auris 15026. RNAcentral's name for it is "Mycoplasma auris 15026 tmRNA". It matches the Rfam family "transfer-messenger RNA". From Rfam's summary of the family: Bacterial tmRNA, also known as 10Sa RNA or SsrA, is named for its dual tRNA and mRNA-like properties. Its role is to liberate the mRNA from a stalled ribosome. Lineage: Bacteria; Bacillati; Mycoplasmatota; Mycoplasmoidales; Metamycoplasmataceae. RNAcentral also lists the same sequence under 1 other name. The record is from RNAcentral.
GGGGAUGUAAUUGGUAUCGACAGUUAUUGGCAUAUUUUUGAUGCAGUGGUCUUGUAAACCAUAAAUACUUUCUAGGCUUUUAAAUGCAAACUUAGAAAAAAAAGAAAAAGAAUUCUUCAUGACAAAUGUUAUGAUGAAUCAAUUAAACCCAGCUUUUGCUUAAUUAAAAACUGGUCGAAUUUCUAUAGUGGCCCAUUAUAGAAAAUUUGCAACUAGGGCUUUGACUUAGCGAAGUGCAGUUGUUAACUAAGUGACAUUUUAAAACUGAAACUCAUUAAGAUUUUUGUUAGUUUUAAAUUAAUUGAGUUUUUUAAAAAAACUAAAUAAACUGUAGAUUCAAAAAUAUAAAAAUAGCUGGACCGGGGUUCGAAUCCCCGCAUCUCCACCA